GCGGCCGUGGCGUAACUGGCAGCCGCGCGGCGUUUAGGUCGCCGUGGGAGAAAUCCCGUGUGGGUUCGAGUCCCACCGGCCGCA
Molecule: transfer RNA, 84 nt
Filed under: Streptomyces coffeae
Lineage: Bacteria; Bacillati; Actinomycetota; Actinomycetes; Kitasatosporales; Streptomycetaceae
Also listed under: 2 other names
Description: tRNA-Leu
Rfam family: tRNA
About the family: Transfer RNA (tRNA) molecules are approximately 80 nucleotides in length. Their secondary structure includes four short double-helical elements and three loops (D, anti-codon, and T loops). Further hydrogen bonds mediate the characteristic L-shaped molecular structure. tRNAs have two regions of fundamental functional importance: the anti-codon, which is responsible for specific mRNA codon recognition, and the 3' end, to which the tRNAs corresponding amino acid is attached (by aminoacyl-tRNA synthetases). tRNAs cope with the degeneracy of the genetic code in two manners: having more than one tRNA (with a specific anti-codon) for a particular amino acid; and 'wobble' base-pairing, i.e. permitting non-standard base-pairing at the 3rd anti-codon position.
Source: RNAcentral